Long non-coding RNA from Terrapene triunguis (Three-toed box turtle), 222 nucleotides. RefSeq lists it as uncharacterized. Lineage: Eukaryota; Metazoa; Chordata; Testudines; Emydidae. The transcript has 2 exons. The record is from RefSeq and is a predicted model, not a curated record.
UGAUGGGGCGGAGAGAAGCUGUUUUCUCCACGGUCAUCGCCCCUGCGAGCAUCCAGCCCAGCCCGGCCCCGCCCCGCAGCACCCGGCCGGGAGGGGAGCGGGGACCCCACUGCACCCCCCGGGCCUGGGGGGGGAACCCCAGGAGCUGCCGGAGGAGCAGAGAACUCACCCGUGGUUCCCAUAGAGGAGGCUGCCCAGAAGUGUACGAGGUGGGGCGCGGUG